This 253-nucleotide ribosomal RNA is filed under the name uncultured bacterium. RNAcentral describes it as "partial 16S ribosomal RNA". It matches the Rfam family "Bacterial small subunit ribosomal RNA", at positions 524 to 776 of the family's 1533-position model. The record is from RNAcentral.
UACAGAGGGGGCAAGCGUUAUUCGGAAUUAUUGGGCGUAAAGGGCGCGUAGGCGGCCUGGCAAGUGGAUGGUGAAAUCCCUCGGCUUAACCGAGGAACUGCCAUCCAGACUGCUUGGCUUGAGACCGGGAGAGGUGAGUGGAAUUCCCAGUGUAGCGGUGAAAUGCGUAGAUAUCGGGAGGAACACCGGUGGCGAAGGCGGUUCUCUGGGCCUUACCUGACGCUGAGGAGCGAAAGCGUGGGGAGCGAACAGG